AUACGUAGGGUGCAAGCGUUAAUCGGAAUUACUGGGCGUAAAGCGUGCGCAGGCGGUUUUGUAAGAAAGUGGUGAAAUCCCCGGGCCCAACCUGGGAACUGCCAUUGUGACUGCAAGGCUGGAGUGCGGCAGAGGGGGAUGGAAUUCCGCGUGUAGCAGUGAAAUGCGUAGAUAUGCGGAGGAACACCGAUGGCGAAGGCAAUCCCCUGGGCCUGCACUGACGCUCAUGCACGAAAGCGUGGGGAGCAAACAGGAUUAGAUACCCUGGUAGUCCACGCCCUAAACGAUGUCAACUGGUUGUUGGGGAUUUAUUUUCUCAGUAACGAAGCUAACGCGUGAAGUUGACCGCCUGGGGAGUACGGCCGCAAGGUUAAAACUCAAAUGAAUUGGCGGGG
Molecule: ribosomal RNA, 395 nt
Filed under: uncultured bacterium
Lineage: Bacteria
Description: partial 16S ribosomal RNA
Rfam family: Bacterial small subunit ribosomal RNA
Source: RNAcentral